UAGCUGACAUUUUAGUUAGGAAAUUCUUUACCUUACAGAAAUUGCUUCAUAUGCUCUUUUUUUUUUUUUUCUUAAUACGAGGUUACCACUUAAAAUACUGAAUCACUUCUUUUGUUGUCAUUCCAAGGCUAAGUUUGUUAAAAUAUAAAAUGAAUAACUGAGCCUUAGCACCUAUUUCUUACUUAGAGGGCACGCAAGUAUUUCUGUUAAAAGUAAACCAAGAUACUGGACAACUGUACAGAAAACUAAGGAAGUAAAGACAUUGGAAGGAAGGACACUGUAAAGGAGCCAACUUUCUGGAUCUACAACAAAACAUGAGCCCUGUAUGCACAGAGCACUGUUUUUGAAGAUUACAUCCAGGAGACAUCUGUUCAGCAACAACAACUGAAUGAAUUAGCAUUUCUUUAGAGUGGUGGCACAACAUAAUGAUUUUGGAAAACAAACAAAGUUAGCUGAAGAACUGUUCAAUUUCUGUUUACCUCUUGGUAUAGUGAGGACUAGGACAUAAAACUGACAAAACGUGUUGUGUUUUUUUUUCCACCCACCUUCAUGGCAUGCAUAAGCAAGUAAUCGUGGAAAUAAUGAGACGCCCAUAAUUAAAGCAUUGUCAUGGGCCUACAAAAACACUCUCUGACACAGACUUCCUCUGUAACUGGAAGCAACUCAUCUCCUGACACAGUUUCUCGUCUAUGAAGCAAAACUUCUUGCCUUUCCUAUCUUUAAAAAGGGCAAUGAAGAUGACCCAGGAAACUACAGGCCAGUCAGCUUCACCUCAGUCCCUGAGAAGGGGAUAGAGCAACUAGUCCUGGGAACCAUUUCCCUGUAAUGAAGAACAAGCAGCUCAUAUCAAGGGCAGUCAGCGUGGAUUCAGUAAGCCCAAGUCAUGCCUGACCAACCUGACAACAACCUCCUAUGAUGAAAUGACCAGCCUAGUAGAAGAAGGUGAGGAAGUGGAUGUCGGCUACCUGGACUUCAGUAAGACUUUGAUACUGUCUCCCAUAAGACCCUCAUAGACAAGCUGUUGAAUGGGCUGGAUGAGCAGACUGUAAGGUAAAUCAAAAAUUGGCUGAAUAGCCAGACCCAGAGGGUGGUGAUCAGUGACACGAAGGUCAGUAACUAGCAAUAUACACCAGGGGUCAAUACUGGUCCAGUCCUGAUCAUCGUCAUCAUCAUACCUACUGCAAGGCUGCUGCUGACACAAAACUGGGAGGAGUGGCUAGUAUGCCAGAGAGUUGUGCUGCCUGCCACAGGAACCUCAACAGGUUGGUGGAGUGGGGUGACAGAGGUCUCAUCGAGUUCAACAAGGAGAAGCACACAUCCUUAAUUUUUUAAGUGAAAUAGAGGCAUUCUUUCAGAGACAACAGACUGUACUUCUAAAGGCUCACCUUUGUAUUUUAACUCAAAACCCUUGCUCAAUUAGGGUCCUAAUUUCUCUACCAACAUUUCCAAGUCAGUAUUUCCUUAUGCGCACACUGUAUUCAAGUCACAGCCUUCUCCUGGCAUCAAGCUGUUAAAAUGAAUUCAUAGCAAGAGCAUGCCCAGAGCCACAAUCAUCUGUUAAACUACAUAUUUCUCCAAGAAUUCAAAUUUUAACUAUUUUUGAACAUCAAAUUGUUUCAGAAUGCUAGCUACAGAAGAACUCACUCACUCAAAGAGAAACAAUAUGCAGAAAUCACAUGACAAAAGAAGAAAAAUUAUUUAGUUAGGGAUGCGCUGUUGGCCUGACAAAUAAAAAGGGAAGAAUUGUCCACAGAAAAAAUAUAUGAACAAAAAUAUAAUCCUACUUCUAUAUCCCUAUGAUCUAUUUUAUUCACUUUUGUUUUAUUUUUUUAUUUUUCUUUUUAAAUGUUCUAUUGCAGUUCUCUGACCAGAGAUCCUUUGCUUUGCUACAGGUGCUAAAAAAUAUUUAUACACUUUAAUUUAGUUGGCAACUACCAGAGUGUAGGUAAAGUAGCCUUACGAGAUCUUGAAGCAAUCUAGGAGAUACUUACUUCUUUUCUAAUCUGAAGCCCUUCAGGGCAUGUACAUAUAAAGCACUAACGUGUCAAAAGUAUGGUGAACAUGUAUACUGCCUUAUGUAAAGACAAAAGUUUUUUGUUUUCUUGGUUUUUCUGGUUUCUUUGGCUUAUAUAUUCAAAAAUACAGAAGUGCUUUUUGUAUACAAUUUAGUCUUUCCUUGUUAAAUUAAGUACAUUAUUUUGCUAGUAUUUCCAUUGUUAGUGGUAGGCAGCUGGUAGAAAGAGCUCUGAAGGGUAUAACUGAAGUGUGAAAGGCAAAAAAGCUAUUUAGUAUAACAUAAUACAACUCUUCCUAGCUUGCAUGACCCUUGAAGUAAUUUUUUAAAUUUAAGGUGGAUAAUAUGCCAAGUUAUUCUUCAGACUGGAUAGAAUCAGAUCAUGUUUUGAUCAAGGUGAGGGCCGGAGGGACAACACAAGUCUUCUUCCUCUAUUGCUUUUGUAUAUAGCACGAUUGGUACAUACAAUGUACAUAUAUCUGCAUAAAUCACAUUAACUCAAUCAACUAGUUAUUUGUAUGUCUGAAGCCUAGAACAAUAUGCAAGUCAUGCAAGGACGCAAAGAUCCCAACUGGAUCAUGCUCAGGAUAUAGCCAUAAAGUUCCAACAUUUCCUAAUAGAAAAAAAAAAAGUCAUACAGACAGAUAGCUGCUCUAAAAGUGAAAGUAGUGGAAGGUUGAACUUUCAUACCUUAUAAAGAUUUAUAAUGUAGUAUGGCAGGGGAAAAAAAUCACCUAGAAGUCUUACAGAUGUCUUUUGCCAACUUAAGCUUAACAUCUCUUUAUAAGCAGCUAGAAACCUACACAAAUCCUCAACGUGCAACGCUCCUGUAAUGCAACAGCAUCCUGAAUACACUGUUAUAUACUGCAGACCAUUGAUUUUUGUCUUGCUGUUCUGGAAAAAGGAAGUUCUAAACUGUGGAGGGGCUUCUGCUUAGCACAUACUCAGCAAGAGCUCAAUAAGGGGCUGUUCCUGUCAAGGCAAGAUUUAAUCAACAGUAUUUGAAAUGUUCUAACUGCUGUGCUAGCAGAAUUCAUCCAAACAUCUCACAGGGAGGAAGCAGACCAUGACAAAUAUUUCUUUUUACUGGCACUAUACAUAGAGAUGAACAGCUGUUACAGGGAAGUACAAACCUGCCUACUAUUUUAGGCAGAAGGACAGUCAUUCUUUGAGCUGUGCUACCUCUCUGAAGGCAGAAGUUGUUGGACUGACUUGCUCUGUGCUGCUGUUUGGCAUAACUUCGACAUCUACAAAGCAGACUUUCCAGUUUCAUGAACACUGGCCUUCCUUCUAGGUUGAAGGGCAGAAUUGUUAUAGAUUCUAUAAACCUUUCAUAGCCAGAUCGUUAAUGGCAAACCGUUUGCUAUACAAGUGUAAUAAACAUUGGAAACGCAACAAAUUUGAAUUUAAGAUAACCACAUGUAGAGAUGAUAGUGCGGAGAAUGUUACAAUGACACAAUACAACAUCAAGGAGGCAGACACACAGUCAGUCACCCCAGAGCUGUAGGAGCUGAGGUCAAACCAGCCCUUCAGUGGCAGCAUUCCUGGUCUCACAGACUCUUGCUGCAGAGAAAGAGGGGACAGCACUGAUGGGUAGAGAUUACCCUUUGCUGUUUUAAAUUACCUUGUGUUUUAAUGCAUGGAUUCCCUCACAGCCUGCUUACAGGUCAGGUCUGCUUACUAAAACCUAUGCAGAAAACCUUUUUGCAGGGCUGCACUACAAGCAAUUACUAUUACUCAUUGCUCAGACUGCAAGCAAAUGCAUUGAAAGAGUUACUAAUUCUAAAAAACAAAAGUGUUCUGGGACGUGCAGCAACAAUAAAAUCCUCUGCUUACUGAACCACGUGAAAAUUUCAAGAAAGGGAUAGCUGUAUUAGGGGAAACACUAAAAGUUUCAGUGUCAUUCGGACAUACUAGUAUACUGAAAUAUCCACAUUAAAAAAGCAUGAAAACUAGAACUGCAUGCUGUUACUAAAGGACUUCAUCACAGGGCCUUAAAGAAUUACUUCAGCCCACAGAACAGCUUGCUUUGAAUAGCACAGAAGUAACACAAAGUAGAAAAUAGAAAAUAUACCUAUAAUACCAUGACAAGAAGGAGCAUGGGUGCCUAUAUUUUUAAAGAUUAGAAUUCAAAACUGAAUUUAAUAGCAGCUACAAAUUGGGAGUCAUGAUUCAAAACUUAAGUGUUAUGGAAACAAAACUAAAGAAACAAAGCAUUUGCCUUUGAGAUGCAAAUUAUUAAUCUGCAAAUGUUAAUGUUUUGCGUUUUGUUAUGUUUUGUUUUGUUUUUAAAUAGAAAAUUUAAACUAAGAUACUUUAUUCUUAUAUAGACUCAGAAAGACUUCAUGCAAAUUGACUCCAAACAACUUCUAAGGCAGUCUGGAAACACUAUAUUCAUUUUUUACAACACUCCAGAACGAGUAUCUGAAGAGAAAUUUGAUUUGAAAUUACACAUUCUCCUUAGUUCUCUCCACACGCACAUAUGUAUUUGUCCAAAGAAAAAUUCCUCCAUUUGCUUUAAAAUUCAAGAUGUGGCAAAAUGAAUUUGACACAGACAACUAUACAUUUGUGCACACAUAUACAACCUUCCCCCUGCACAUCUCCACCACGAGCAGGCACGUAAAUCAAGUGUGUGCGUACAGAGACCUUAACUAGACACACACCUGGCCCCUGCCAAUGUUGAAACAGAAGUGUACACAUUUAUCAUUAUCUAUAAAUGUUGGCCAGAAAUCAAAAACAGGUUGUAGCAAAUACUAUAAGAAAGUUGUUAGAGGACUACAACCCUGAAGAGUUACAACACUUGCAACAUUAAAAAGGAUCACAAAGUAAGACAGGUACUAGAAAUAUCUCAGAAGUUUACAUCCAGAUGCACUUGCCUAAAUUUCAAGCCUGUUUUUCAGUAUUUUACUGACAAAUACACAUUUUUACUGACAAACUUGCACAUAUAAAUCACAUCGAUGAGGCUGUGUUGUCACUAUUCGUAAUCUGGUGGGCUGCAACUGUCUUACCUCAGCAGGCAUAAAGAGUGCAGCUCAGGUAACUGCUCCUCACUUGCUACUUUCCUUGCUGAAGGUUUGCAUACUUCCCUUCAGAGUAGAAUGGGAGAAUCAACUUCUGGGACCAAAGAUGGCAACGCAGGACUGGUCAAAAUGAGCGUCUUUUGAGUUAUUUCAAGUAAGAGUACACAUACACUUCAGCCUUGUUUAUUAAAGGUUUUUCAAGAAAAUAUGCAUGUCUUACAUUGGAAUGCAUUCUGGGUUUUAAAAUGUCACUCCCUCCCUGUAUUAUAGUAAUAGUUUAGCGAAAGUAUAUUAUGAUCUUCCAAGCAUAACUAAAUCCUACAACUUAAAAACCGGUGUUGCUGAGGAGUUUUGGAGUACAGCCACACACUGGCCCACAUUUACUUUCAGUGUGGGCUUCAGGGCAACAUUAUUAUGGUCAGAGCUCUACACCUUCAGACAUGCCCUUCCCUGAAAGGCCAUCGGAUUUCUUCAAACUUUCCAUAACUCUGCCUUUUCUUACAUAAUCCAAACUUGAUUAAAUGUGCUCUCUCUCUUCUGAAACACAUCUAGACCAUGGGUUGCUUCCACAAUUAUUCCCUUCUCAAAUUAUAUGUGAGAAAGCCAUAUAUAAAAGUUCUGCACUGUACUUUGAAAAGUACAGGUUGAUUUCAGACUAAGCAAGCUCAAUAGCCUGUGCCUACUGCACUACUGAAAACUAGGAAAUGAAAUUACUGUUUUUUUAACUAUUGAUAAUCGUUUUGUGGUAAAGCACACAACCUUGGGCUUCUACCUACAAUGGUUUUCUUUGAAGCUCAACUGCAUGCACUUCUCUGUAUAAAAGAUGUAUACAAAUUAAGCAGAAAAAUUAAGUAACCUUGCAGGAUGCCAGCAGCCUUCUCCUCUCCAAAACAUAAUUAUGGUAGCAUAACAACAUAUACAGCUUAAAGACUGAAAUAAAAGUCAUGCUGCCUGAGCCACUUGCCCAUCACCAGUGAAUAUUUUCUCAGAGUAUCUUCUCCCACGCUAGUUUCCUCUCUUCCAUCACCACUUAUCUCUCCUAAGUAACAUCAACCGAACUAAAUGUUGCUGGGAGAUUUUCUCUCCAGCCUUCUGAAGCUGAAGCCUAAAUUUCUCUGUUUGGUUAGGUGAGCUUGGACCAGUUGGUGUUUUCAGAACUACUAUCACCCAGCUGUUGUCUAUUAAACACAUGCAGUGGAUCAUCAUCAGUUAGUGAAGGCAACAUCAGAUCUUCUCCCACCCCCAAACUCCUCACAGGAAAAAAAAAAAAAAGGGUUGAGGGGAGGAAGGGACAGGAAAUCUCUGUUAUCAAUAGACUACAUCCUGCUAACUUCACUCACAUGAGUCUACAAGAUUACAUGCUCAGUAAAUGUUAAACUGAAACCAGAGCCUAUAAAAAUCUUCUAUUUGAUGACCAGCUGUUGCAACAUUAAAAUAGAUAAUAUUUGAGGAGAGUUAUUUAUACACAGCUAUGACUGCUCCUCGUAAUCAUCAAAUUAAAGGCAGGAGACAGACCUUUCCUCCAAACUCAGGAGGAAAAUAAUUAAUUUUUAUUUACAUAAGUCUUAACAUUAGCCUGUUCACUGGAAAGGCAAGUCUGACAUGAUGCAGAAUUGAAGAAUUGACUCUCUAACACUAACAGCAAUUACUUUAAACAAAUUACUUUAACACCAACUACAGAAAGAGAAUAUAUUUUCAUUAAAAAAGGUAACUAAAUUAAUAACUACUCAAAAAGGGGUAGACACAUAUGAAGAUUUCCAUAAUAUUCAAUUCACAAACUGUGAAUCAAAGCUUGAAAAUUGAUUUUCACAUAUCCCCAGUUUUGACCAAAGUCCUAUCUGUUCUGGAACCGCAGUCCUUCUGGGGACACCUCUCCAUUGAAAAUGGAGAUGUGAGGCACUGCAGUUCCCUAUGCUCAGGCAGGCACAGCAACAAAAACUGAUUGAUGUAGGGAGAACCAUUUCUAAUCUUAGGACACGAUCAUUUUUGAGAACAGCACUUCCUUACUCGGUAAUGCUGAAGAUAAAACUCAAUGUGACUUCUGGAAAUAAAAAAUGGAGCAUAUAAAAAAAAAGUUAAGCUUGUUAAACUUCAUAUUAAAGUUUACCUUCACCUUUCACAGCCAUUUCAAUGCUUGGGUGUAAGAACAGUGGUAUGAAUAUAGGCGUAAUCAUGAAUGAGUCAUUGCUGCCUACUGCUCAAUUUGGCACGUUUUUCAUAUGCUGUCACAAAACAUUGUUCAUAUGGGUAUCCUACCACUAUUACAUACAAUUAACUCCAAAGUGCUCUACGCUUCCAGUUUAUGUAAUAGACAUGAAACUUACUCGGUCUUCAUCCAGUCAAAAAACAAAUGAUUAAGACUGAUUAUUAAGUCAACUUUUUCUUGCUCUGUUCAAGAAACAAAAUAAAAUAAAUAAAUAAUAAAAACCUUUUUGUGGAAAUUUA
Molecule: non-coding RNA, 7479 nt
Organism: Anas platyrhynchos (mallard)
Lineage: Eukaryota; Metazoa; Chordata; Aves; Anseriformes; Anatidae
Source: RefSeq, a predicted model, not a curated record